GGAGUUGUAGCUCAGUGGUAGAGCACAUGCCAAGUAUGUAUGAGGCACUGCGUUCAAUACUCAGCACCA
RNAcentral lists this transfer RNA (69 nucleotides) under Marmota monax (woodchuck). It matches the Rfam family "tRNA". From Rfam's summary of the family: Transfer RNA (tRNA) molecules are approximately 80 nucleotides in length. Their secondary structure includes four short double-helical elements and three loops (D, anti-codon, and T loops). Further hydrogen bonds mediate the characteristic L-shaped molecular structure. tRNAs have two regions of fundamental functional importance: the anti-codon, which is responsible for specific mRNA codon recognition, and the 3' end, to which the tRNAs corresponding amino acid is attached (by aminoacyl-tRNA synthetases). tRNAs cope with the degeneracy of the genetic code in two manners: having more than one tRNA (with a specific anti-codon) for a particular amino acid; and 'wobble' base-pairing, i.e. permitting non-standard base-pairing at the 3rd anti-codon position. The record is from Rfam by way of RNAcentral. Lineage: Eukaryota; Metazoa; Chordata; Mammalia; Rodentia; Sciuridae.